RNAcentral lists this ribosomal RNA (468 nucleotides) under uncultured bacterium. Its description in RNAcentral is "partial 16S ribosomal RNA". It matches the Rfam family "Bacterial small subunit ribosomal RNA", at positions 28 to 507 of the family's 1533-position model. The record is from RNAcentral.
GACGAACGCUGGCGGCGUGCUUAACACAUGCAAGUCGAACGGAAAGGCCCUGCUUUUGUGGGGUGCUCGAGUGGCGAACGGGUGAGUAACACGUGAGUAACCUGCCCUUGAAUUUGGGAUAACUUCAGGAAACUGCGGCUAAUACCGGAUAGGAGCUCCUGCUGCAUGGUGGGGGUUGGAAAGUUUCGGCGGUUGGGGAUAGACUCGCGGCUUAUCAGCUUGUUAGUGGGGUAGUGGCUUACCAAGGCUUUGACGGGUAGCCGGCCUGAGAGGGUGACCGGCCACAUGGGGACUAAGAUACGGCCCAGACGCCUACGGGAGGCAGCAGUGGAGAGUAUUGCGCAGUGAGCGGAAGCCUGAGGCAGCAACGCCGCGUGCGGGAUAACGGCCUUCGAGUUGUAAACCGCUGUCGCCGGUGACGAAGCGUGAUUGACGGUAAUUGGUAAAGAAGCACCGGCUAACUACGUG